GGAAUAUUGGUCAAUGGACGCAAGUCUGAACCAGCCAUGCCGCGUGAAGGAUGACGGCCUUCUGGGUUGUAAACUUCUUUUAUUGGGGAAGAAAAUUACGGUUUCUACUGUAACCGACGGUACCCAACGACUACGCACCGGCCAACUCCGUGCCAGCAGCCGCGGUAAUACGGAGGGUGCAAGCGUUAUCCGGAUUUACUGGGUUUAAAGGGUGUGUAGGCGGGCAGUUAAGUCAGUGGUGAAAUCUCCGGGCUCAACCCGGAAACUGCCAUUGAUACUAUUUGUCUUGAAUAUCGUUGAGGUAGGCGGAAUAUGUCAUGUAGCGGUGAAAUGCAUAGAGAUGACAUAGAACACCAAUUGCGAAGGCAGCUUACUAAACGAUAAUUGACGCUGAGGCACGAAAGCGUGGGGAGCAAA
Molecule: ribosomal RNA, 417 nt
Filed under: uncultured bacterium
Lineage: Bacteria
Description: bacterial SSU rRNA
Rfam family: Bacterial small subunit ribosomal RNA
Source: RNAcentral